CGCGCGGGGCCCGGGGCGGGAGCCGGGCGGACGCCAUGGAGGGGCUGCGGCGGGGGCUGUCGCGCUGGAAGCGCUACCACAUCAAGGUGCACCUGGCGGACGAGGCGCUGCUGCUGCCGCUGACCGUGCGGCCGCGGGACACGCUCAGCGACCUGCGCGCCCAGCUGGUGGGCCAGGGCGUGAGCUCCUGGAAGCGCGCCUUCUACUACAACGCGCGGCGGCUGGACGACCACCAGACCGUGCGCGACGCGCGCCUGCAGGACGGCUCGGUGCUGCUGCUCGUCAGCGACCCCAGGUAGCCUGGCUUGGAGGAGGCAGAGCCAUGACCGAGGGGACCCAGGUACUGGCGGGAGGAAUAUGCUGGGGUAGGGGGCACUUUUGGAAGUUACGUCUUCUGCCUCCUGGGAGCCUAGAUCUCACUCCAGGGUCUGGGCUCCCAGGAGGACAGUGAAACCCUGGCCUGACCAGCUGAUGCACCCUGCUUCAGACGCUCCUGCCAGAGCCCCAGUCCCUUACGGACCUAGGACAUUUCUGCUCCUGCCCAGCCUACCAGGAGGGAGCCUUGAGCCUUUCAGCUCUGCUGCGUGACUUUGAGGCUCUGGCUCCCCUCUUGGGGCCCCGGGUGCCCUGUCUUCAGUGGGAAGCACUGCACCACUGCGGAAGGCUCCCAGGGACAGCCAGAGGACAUCGCAUGAGGAGAAGGACAGGGCAGAGGAAGAGCACUCGGAGGCACUUCCCCUCUUGCCCACAAUAUUCUUCCAGCCACACCUUUGCCCAAGCCAUGCUCCCUGCCUGGAGCACUUUCAACCUCUUCUCCGCAGCUCCAAUCCACCUGGGGUUGCAGCCUCCUCCAGGAAGUCUUCUUGGAUUCCCUCCUUCCCAGGCAGAGAGCACCUAGCCCUCA
This is a long non-coding RNA of Cebus imitator (Panamanian white-faced capuchin), 904 nucleotides long. RefSeq lists it as uncharacterized. The transcript is spliced from 3 exons. The record is from RefSeq and is a predicted model, not a curated record. Lineage: Eukaryota; Metazoa; Chordata; Mammalia; Primates; Cebidae.